This 327-nucleotide unclassified non-coding RNA is filed under the name uncultured fungus. Its description in RNAcentral is "partial contains small subunit ribosomal RNA, internal transcribed spacer 1, and 5.8S ribosomal RNA". The stretch from base 1 to 73 matches the Rfam family "Eukaryotic small subunit ribosomal RNA", at positions 1759 to 1831 of the family's 1831-position model. The record is from RNAcentral. Lineage: Eukaryota; Fungi.
UCAAACUUGGUCAUUUAGAGGAAGUAAAAGUCGUAACAAGGUAUCCGUAGGUGAACCUGCGGAUGGAUCAUUAACAAUUUGGGGAAACCCACACCUUAUGUGAACUAGCUGGGCUAAUCAAAAGCGUAAGCUUGCGAUGAGCUCGACUGAAUGUUAUUGAUGGCUUGCCAGAAAUAACAAUACUUAAACUUUGGGGGAUUACUUUUAGUGUCUCCCAAAAUUCAUACUAAACUUUACUAUUUAUUACCAAAAGCCAAAAUUCAUUAUUAAUACAAUACAACUUUUAACAAUGGAUCUCUUGGCUCUCGCAUCGAUGAAGAACGCAGC